UACGAAGGGGGCUAGCGUUGUUCGGAAUUACUGGGCGUAAAGGGCGCGUAGGCGGUGUGUCAAGUCAGGCGUGAAAGCCCCGGGCUCAACCUGGGAACCGCGCUUGAGACUGGCACGCUCGAGUUCGGGAGAGGAUGGUGGAAUUCCCAGUGUAGAGGUGAAAUUCGUAGAUAUUGGGAAGAAAACCGAUGGCGAAGGCAGCCAUCUGGACCGACACUGACGCUGAGGCGCGAAAGCGUGGGGAGCAAACAGG
This 253-nucleotide ribosomal RNA is filed under the name uncultured bacterium. RNAcentral describes it as "partial 16S ribosomal RNA". It matches the Rfam family "Bacterial small subunit ribosomal RNA", at positions 524 to 776 of the family's 1533-position model. The record is from RNAcentral.